GGAGGGUGCGAGCGUUACCCGGAUUUACUGGGCGUAAAGGGCGUGUAGGCGGUUUUCUAAGUCCGGGGCUAAAGACCAGGGCUCAACCCUGGGUUUGCCUUGGAUACUGGAAAGCUCGACGGCUGGAGGGGGCAGCGGAAUUUCCGGAGUAGCGGUGAAAUGCGCAGAUACCGGAAGGAACGCCAAUAGCGAAGGCAGCUGCCUGGACAGUACGUGACGCUGAGGCGCGAAAGCGUGGGGAGCAAACCGGAUUAGAUACCCGGGGGUAGUCCACGCCCUAAACGAUGAGUGCUGGGUGUCCGGCGUUUGCCCGGGUGCCCGAAGCUAACGCGUUAAGCACUCCGCCUGGGAAGUACGGUCGCAAGACUG
This 369-nucleotide ribosomal RNA is filed under the name uncultured organism. RNAcentral's name for it is "partial 16S ribosomal RNA". It matches the Rfam family "Bacterial small subunit ribosomal RNA", at positions 527 to 896 of the family's 1533-position model. The record is from RNAcentral.